This 77-nucleotide transfer RNA is filed under the name Variovorax sp. HW608. RNAcentral describes it as "tRNA_Lys_TTT". It matches the Rfam family "tRNA", at positions 12 to 71 of the family's 71-position model. From Rfam's summary of the family: Transfer RNA (tRNA) molecules are approximately 80 nucleotides in length. Their secondary structure includes four short double-helical elements and three loops (D, anti-codon, and T loops). Lineage: Bacteria; Pseudomonadati; Pseudomonadota; Betaproteobacteria; Burkholderiales; Comamonadaceae. The record is from RNAcentral.
CUGUCGCUACCUGUCGCGUCGGAGGUGGUGGACUUUUAAUCCGUUGGUCACUGGUUCGAAUCCAGUACGUCCUACCA